GCUCAGAACGAACGCCGGCGGCGUGCCUAACACAUGCAAGUCGAACGGAAUUGAAGGGCUUGCUCUUCAAUUUAGUGGCGCACGGGUGAGUAACGCGUGGAUAAUCUGCCCUGGUAUCUGGGAUAACAUUUCGAAAGGAGUGCUAAUACCGGAUAAGCCCACGGGGUCUUCGGACCUUGCGGGAAAAGGUGGCCUCUGAAUAUGCUACUGUAUCAGGAUGAGUCCGCGUCCCAUUAGCUAGUUGGCGGGGUAACGGCCCACCAAGGCGACGAUGGGUAGCUGGUCUGAGAGGAUGAUCAGCCACACUGGAACUGAGACACGGUCCAGACUCCUACGGGAGGCAGCAGUGGGGAAUUUUGCGCAAUGGGGGAAACCCUGACGCAUCAACGCCGCGUGAGUGAUGAAGGCCUUCGGGUCGUAAAGCUCUGUCAGAGGGAAAGAAGUGUGUGGUGGCUAAUACCUGCUACACUUGACGGUACCCUCAAAGGAAGCACCGGCUAACUCCGUGCCAGCAGCCGCGGUAAUACGGAGGGUGCGAGCGUUGUUCGGAAUUAUUGGGCGUAAAGCGCGUGUAGGCGGUUUUUUAAGUCUGAUGUGAAAGCCCUGGGCUCAACCCGGGAAGUGCAUUGGAAACUGGGAGACUUGAAUACGGGAGAGGGUAGUGGAAUUCCUGGUGUAGGAGUGAAAUCCGUAGAUAUCAGGAGGAACACCGGUGGCGAAGGCGGCCGCCUGGAUCGAUAUUGACGUUGAGACGCGAAAGCGUGGGGAGCAAACAGAGAUUAGAUACCCUGGUAGUCCACGCCGUAAACGAUGAGUACUAGGUGUCGCGGGUAUUGACCCCUGCGGUGCC
This 850-nucleotide ribosomal RNA is filed under the name uncultured bacterium. Its description in RNAcentral is "bacterial SSU rRNA". It matches the Rfam family "Bacterial small subunit ribosomal RNA", at positions 22 to 847 of the family's 1533-position model. The record is from RNAcentral.